RNAcentral lists this long non-coding RNA (4545 nucleotides) under Lathyrus oleraceus (garden pea). RNAcentral describes it as "Pisum sativum (pea) long non-coding RNA (PSAT_LNC032547)". Lineage: Eukaryota; Viridiplantae; Streptophyta; Magnoliopsida; Fabales; Fabaceae. The record is from RNAcentral.
UUCAGAAUUGCAAAUGCACCAGAAAAUGAUCUACUUUAUUCAUAGGUUCCAAUGCCUUUUAUAGGAAAUACAUAAAAAACUGCAAACAACUGAAAAUCCUAAAAUAAAGGACAUGACUCAACUAGUUCCACUAAUAACGAGAAUUUAGCAAAACAGAAAAAUGACCUGUUCUAACCUAAAGAAUAGGUCUUUAUUGAAAUAACAAAAACGUACACAAAACAAUCCCUCCCUUGAACUAAACUCGAUCAAGAGUUUCAGUUCACAACACUCAUCCCAAACGCUUCUCUGAUCCUUUGAAAUGAUGCCAUCUUCAAAGGCUUUGUCAUUAUGUCGGUCAGCUGCUCCUCAGUGCUGCAAUAGACCAAUUUAACGACACCUUCCUUUGUCAAUUCUCUGAGAAAAUGGUAUCGGACCCUUAUGUGCUUUGACUUCCCGUGCAUGACUGCAUUUUGUGACAACUUGAUAGUGGACGUGUUGUCGCAGAACAGAACCAUUUCUUCAUCUUGUUCAUGCCCGAUUUCUUUCAAUAUCCUCCUCAUACAAAUGGCUUGACAAGCACAUGUAGCUGCUGCUACAUGCUCUGCUUCAGUAGUUGACAGAGUUACGAUUGGUUGCUUCCUUGAGGACCAUGCCACAACUCCUCCACUCAUCAAGAAAACAUAGCCUGAAGUGCUCCUACUGUCAUCCACAUCUCCCGCGUAGUUACUGUCGGUGUAGCCUAAGAGUUCACUCCUCCCUUCACGUUGAUACCAUAUCCCAAAUUCAGAGCUGCCCUUCAAGUAUCUCAUGAUCUUUUUGCAGUAGCAAAGUGUAACUCGUAGGAUUUGCCAUAAAACGACUAAUAAGACUUACCACAAACAUCAAGUCAUGUCUUGUGGCUGUGAGAUACAUUAAGCUGCCACCAUUCUUAUAUAUGCGUUGAGUCGACCUUCACACCAGCUUCAUCUCGCGCCAACCUUCUGUCCAGGGACUAUCGGAUUACAACGGAGUUGUAAUUUGCAUCCCAAACCUCUCGAUCAACUCAACAACAUAUUUCUUUGACAUAUAACGAUGCCAUCAGCCUUCUGCAUCAUUUCAAUGCAAGGAAAUAUCUCAUCUUCCCAAAUCGGUCAUGUCGAAUUCAUCCUUCAUGGAGCGCUUGAACUCAUUUAGCAACUCUCAUCAAUUACUAGUGAACAAUAGAUCAUCAACAUAAAUGCUCACAAUUAAGAUUUUACCUCCCUUUUGUUUGAUGAAUAAUGUUUGUUCACUAGAGCUGCUUACAAACCCUUCCUUGACGAAAUAAGCCUCAAUGCGACUGAACCAAGCUCUGGGCGCUUGUUUUAGUCCAUAAAGAGCCUUAUGUAGCUUAUAAACCAUGUCCUUCUUCCCUGCUACUUCAUAGCCUUGUGGUUGCUCUACAAAUACAUCUUCCUUCAGCUCACCAUGCAGAAAAGCAGAUUUGACAUCGAGCUGAUAGAUUCCUCAUCCUCUUUGUGCUGCUACAGCAAUGAUCAUCCUUACUGUAUCCAUUCGAGCCACCGGUGCGAAUACCUCUGUGUAAUCUACUUCAUACUCUUGAGCAUACCUUUUUACAAUCAGCCUAGCUUUGAACUUGUCUACCUCUCCCAGUUCAUUUAAUUUAGUCUUGUAAAUCCACUUAACCCCAAUAGCCUUGGCACCAACGGGAAGUGCAGUCAGCGACCACGUGUGGUUCCGUUCGAUGGAUUGUAUCUCAGCAUCCAUCGCUUGUUUCCAUUUCUGAUGUCCCGCUGCUUCUUGAAAACUGGUCGGAUCUGAUAUGACCAUGAAAGCUAGGUUUUUAAUCUCGACUCUAGCCAUGUUUGCUUCUUCUCUGUAUCUGAUAGCCCUUCUCCUGUGACAGAAUCUGCAGACCAGAUUGGUGGUUUUCUCACCCUUCCCGUCGUUGCUAUCGUUUCUCUAGUUGGUGGAUCGUUUGGUGAAGGAGCGUCAUCAGUGUCUUGUUCUGCUUCUUCCGUCUCCUCUGCAUUCUCAGCAUCUUCAUAAUCAUUUUCCCACUCAAGUUCAAUGCUUUCUUCACCAGAAUGACCAACAUCUUCCCAAUUCCACUUCUUAUCUUCCUCAAAUAUCACAUCUCGGCUGAUGUCUUGGAAAAAGAGGUGACCUAGCUUGUAGAAUUUACGGAACCUAAGACUGCUGAAACCUAACAGGACACACUUCACGCUUUUGUCAUCGAGCUUGCUUCUUUUAACAUCAGGGAUAUGAACAUAUCCGAUACAUCCAAAAACCCUAAAGUGUUUGACUGAUGGCUUUCUUCCACUCCAUGCCUCUUCCGGAGUCAUAUCUUUUACAAUGAGUGUAGGAGAUCUGUUAAGAAUGUGAUUCACCCAUUGCACAGCAUCUGGCCAGAAAGAUUUUGGUACCUCUUUCUCUAAUAAGAAUGCUCUCACCAUGUUCAUGAUUGUGCGGUUUUUGCGUUCAGCAACGCCAUUUUGUUGCGGCGUGAAGGCGGUGGUCAGCAAUCUUUUGAUUCCAUGCUCUCUACAGAAUUCCUUGAACUCAUUUGAGUUGUAUUCUCCUCCUCUAUCCGUUCUUAGACAUUUGAUGAACAAUCCAGUUUGCUUAUCCACAAACGCUUUGAAUGUCUUGAACUGAUGAAAUGCUUCAGAUUUUUCUAACACAAAAUAUAUCCACGUUUUUCUCGAGAAAUCGUCAAUAAAGCUUAUCAAGUACCUUAUUUGACUAUUUGAUGGUGGACUAAUCGGGGCACAGAGAUCGGAGUGGAUAAGCUGUAAUCUUUCAGUGGCUCUCCACUUGCUCUAUUUUGGAAAUGGAACACGAUGGUGUUUCCCUUUGACACACGUCUCACAAGUGAUUUUCAUAUCUCUAAUUUUAGGUAAUCCCACAACCAUCUCUUUACUGCAUAAUGUGUGAAGUCCCUUGUAGCUGAGAUGCCCAUAUCGACGGUGCCACAACUCUGCCUUGUCUGAGAUAUCAACCUGCAGGCAUCUCUCCUCCUUUGUUUUGUCAUUUGAUUCACCCAGUAGGAUAAACAUCCUAUUAACACUCAUAACAGAUUCUGUUAUUUUUCCUCUCGAGGGAUGAAAGAUGUUGCAUGUUUUUUGAACUCCUCCUUUGAAUAGCACGUUUAAACCCCUUUCUUGAAGUUGCCCAACACUCAACAGGUUGUUCUUUAAUUCCGGAAUAUAAUACACAUCGUUGACCACAUAGCUUAUUCCAACUCAACAGGUUGUUCUUUAAUUCCGGAAUAUAAUACACAUCGUUGACCACAUAGCUUAUUCCCUUGAGCAUUAUCUUCACCACUCCUUUUCCACCAACCAUCAGUUUGUGAUUGUUCCCAAGCUUGACAUUAUGUGUGAAGCUAGUGUCCAAGCUUGAGAACAUGUCUCUUUCUCCACACAUAUGGUUUGAACAUCCAGAGUCCACGAAUCACACAUCUCCUCUUAUAGUACCUUGAAGUUCCACAUACGCCAUGAGAAGAACUUCAUCAUUUUCUUCGAUCUCUGCAAAAUGUGCUCCAUUGUUCCCAUUUGGACAUUCAUAUUGGAAAUGUCCUAGUUUGUGGCAGCUGUAACACUUGAUUGUUGAUUUGUUGAAUGAGCGUCCUCUGCCCCUGCCUCGACCUCUGUAGGAUCCUCUGCCCCUGCCUCUGACAUUGAGAGCUUGAUCAUCUUCUUCAUGACUGAUCUUCUUAAAUUUCUUUUCAUGUACGGACAGAGAGCUCUGUAGUUCGUCAAGCGUCAUCUUUUCUGUGUCUUUUGACUCCUCGAUGGACACCACCACAUAUGUAAACUUGUCAGUCAGAGUCCGAAGUAUUUUCUCAACAAUCUUCGAAUCUGACAUGUCUUCUCCGUUGCUUCUCAUCUUGUUGGAGACAGACAUUACUCUUCCAAAGUAAUCAUCGAUGCUCUCUUCAUUCUUCAUUGCAAGAACCUCAAAAUCUCUUCUUAGGGUUUGGAGAAGAGAUCGCUUCACCCUUUCGUUGCCUCCAAACUUUCUCUUCAUCGAAUCCCAAAUGAUCUUGGAUGUUUUGCGAUCCAAGAUCUGUUCAAACACAACCCGGUCAAUUGCCUGGAAGAGAUAGUGCUUCACUUGACAGUCCUUCAUCUUGAGCUCCUUCUGCGUUGUAUUCAAUUCGAUUCCCGCUGCCGGUUCGGUGUAACCCUCUUUCACUAGACUCCACAAACCCUUGGCACGCAAGAGGUUUUCCAUCAGUUCACUCCAAUGGUCAUAGUGACCAUCAAACUGUGGAAUCUUGGUGAGUCUUUUAUCGUCACUCAUCUCUCUCUCUUGGAUCACUUUGCUUUGCUUUGGCUCUGAUACCAAAUGUAGACUGUAAGUUUCAGAAUUGCAAAUGCACCAUAAAAUGAUCUACUUUAUUCAUAGGUUCCAAUGCCUUUUAUAGUAAAUACAUAAAAAACUGCAAACAACUGAAAAUCCUAAAAUAAAGGACAUGACUUAACUAGUUCCACUAAUAACGAGAAUUUAGCAAAACAGAAAAAUGACCUGUUCUAACCUAAAGAAUAGGUCUUUAUUGAAAUAACAAAAACGUACACAACAAAA